GCCCCCUUCGUCUAUCGGCUAGGACGAGAGAUUCUCAGUCUCUAAAGAGGGGUUCGAUUCCCCUAGGGGGUA
RNAcentral lists this transfer RNA (72 nucleotides) under Spirochaetaceae bacterium. RNAcentral's name for it is "tRNA-Glu". It matches the Rfam family "tRNA". Rfam says of the family: Transfer RNA (tRNA) molecules are approximately 80 nucleotides in length. Their secondary structure includes four short double-helical elements and three loops (D, anti-codon, and T loops). The record is from RNAcentral. Lineage: Bacteria; Pseudomonadati; Spirochaetota; Spirochaetia; Spirochaetales; Spirochaetaceae.